AGCCAACGUAAUCUAGCGAGGAAGCAGCUUUUUUAUUUAUCGGAAAUAAGAAUGGCUGCUAUCCGACUUCUCUAUUGUUUUCAACGCGGUCCAGUCGACAUUGCAGGGUCACAGAUGCCCCAGUCUUUUCUUUGAAGAAUCCUUUUCUUCUGAUCCUCUCCCGACUGAUCUUAUUCCUCGUUACUGAAAUCAUGUCUGGCUCGGGGGACAUACCAGCCAUCGAGGGCCCCGGGAUGGGCGCUAUGAGGCUUCCCAUCGGGAUGACCCGUCGAGCCCUCAGCUACGACGAUAACCUGGAGGCCCCCAUGUCCACGCCCCCCCACGACAUCAGCAUCAACAACCUGUGGAGACGACCAAUCAUACCGGAGAGGAAGUUCUCCCGCCUGGCUGAG
This is a long non-coding RNA of Notothenia coriiceps (black rockcod), 392 nucleotides long. RefSeq lists it as uncharacterized. Lineage: Eukaryota; Metazoa; Chordata; Actinopteri; Perciformes; Nototheniidae. The record is from RefSeq and is a predicted model, not a curated record. The transcript is spliced from 3 exons.